Non-coding RNA from Araneus ventricosus, 78 nucleotides. NCBI's taxonomy places the organism in Eukaryota, Metazoa, Arthropoda, Arachnida, Araneae, Araneidae. The record is from the annotation of a GenBank genome assembly.
UGGCCCAUGGGGAUCGAACUCCACGACCUUCAAGGCUAUUAGAAGAAUGACGCUCCCAUCCAACUGAGCUAAUGGGCC